CCUCAUGAUAUUCUAGGCAAAGAGCAAGAGAAAUUCUAGAAACCGAUCCAAUUUGACAAUCCUUCAUCACAGUGGCAGCAAACCAUUCAGGAAAGUGAUUUAUGACAAUGGCGGCAAGGAUAAUAAUCCACCAGCUUUGGAUGCCUUAUUUUUUAUGACUCACACAAAGGGUGACAAUUUUAUUGAUUCUGAGUCCUCCAGCAAGCAUGCACAAAUUCAGGAACAAAUGUUUUCAGAUCCUUCUCUUUCCAAUGCACAACUUAUGGACAAGUGCUUCCCUUCAAAACGGCAGGACCAUAUCAUUGGAUAUGGUGGUCGAGUGAAAGCAAGACAUCUUCGAAGUCCAUAUGUUAGUAAGGCUGAAUUGUUAGAGAAGCUAAAACAGUCGGAGGAUGAGAAACGAGCAAUGCUUGAGGAGAACAGAGAGCUUCGAGAAGAAAAUCGGGCUACAAACAGUCGUGUAAGCCAAAUGGAAAAGGAGUGGGCAGAGUUGAAGAAACAAAUAAGUAGUAGUUAGCAUAGAAAUCUUGAUUUGAGUAGAGUUUGAGUGAUAUGAAUAUUUACAACUUUUAUACCAUUGGAUAAAUACGUGAUACUAGAUUUAUUAUAUGUAAUAAUCAGAUUACCACCGAUAUAUAUAUACAAGCUGCAAAUGGUUCAUUGGUGCAUCUCAAUGUGAAAUUGAAUGGUCAUUGUUGUUUAAUACAGGGAAGCAGAAAGAUGUCGUUUAUUAA
Zea mays is the source of this 734-nucleotide long non-coding RNA. RefSeq lists it as uncharacterized. The record is from RefSeq and is a predicted model, not a curated record. NCBI's taxonomy places the organism in Eukaryota, Viridiplantae, Streptophyta, Magnoliopsida, Poales, Poaceae. The transcript is spliced from 3 exons.